RNAcentral lists this long non-coding RNA (239 nucleotides) under Daucus carota (carrot). Its description in RNAcentral is "long non-coding RNA (DCAR_LNC001870)". The record is from RNAcentral. Lineage: Eukaryota; Viridiplantae; Streptophyta; Magnoliopsida; Apiales; Apiaceae.
UACAAAUCUGAAAUCAUAAAUUAUGCCAAAAUUGUAGUAAAAAAAUAUCACAACCGCAAACCACCUUUAACCCACCAUCAUCUAACCGUUAUCUAAAACCUCGUAAUAUACAACAUGUUAACACUAAAUCCAUCAUUGUCCAUAGAGUCCAUUCUUACGCAAACAAAUAAUAAAAUGCAAUGAGAAUAUUUUAUAAAGUAAAGACAUUAAGAUCUGAUGCAAAUAUUUAAAUUACCAAC